AGAGUUUGAUCAUGGCUCAGGAUGAACGCUAGCUACAGGCUUAACACAUGCAAGUCGAGGGGCAGCAUUUUAGUUUGCUUGCAAACUAAAGAUGGCGACCGGCGCACGGGUGAGUAACACGUAUCCAACCUGCCGAUAACUCGGGGAUAGCCUUUCGAAAGAAAGAUUAAUAUCCGAUAGUAUAUUAAAACCGCAUGGUUUUACUAUUAAAGAAUUUCGGUUAUCGAUGGGGAUGCGUUCCAUUAGUUUGUUGGCGGGGUAACGGCCCACCAAGACUACGAUGGAUAGGGGUUCUGAGAGGAAGGUCCCCCACAUUGGAACUGAGACACGGUCCAAACUCCUACGGGAGGCAGCAGUGAGGAAUAUUGGUCAAUGGACGAGAGUCUGAACCAGCCAAGUAGCGUGAAGGAUGACUGCCCUAUGGGUUGUAAACUUCUUUUAUAUGGGAAUAAAGUAUUCCACGUGUGGGAUUUUGUAUGUACCAUAUGAAUAAGGAUCGGCUAACUCCGUGCCAGCAGCCGCGGUAAUACGGAGGAUCCGAGCGUUAUCCGGAUUUAUUGGGUUUAAAGGGAGCGUAGGUGGAUUGUUAAGUCAGUUGUGAAAGUUUGCGGCUCAACCGUAAAAUUGCAGUUGAAACUGGCAGUCUUGAGUACAGUAGAGGUGGGCGGAAUUCGUGGUGUAGCGGUGAAAUGCUUAGAUAUCACGAAGAACUCCGAUUGCGAAGGCAGCUCACUAGACUGCAACUGACACUGAUGCUCGAAAGUGUGGGUAUCAAACAGGAUUAGAUACCCUGGUAGUCCACACAGUAAACGAUGAAUACUCGCUGUUUGCGAUAUACAGUAAGCGGCCAAGCGAAAGCAUUAAGUAUUCCACCUGGGGAGUACGCCGGCAACGGUGAAACUCAAAGGAAUUGACGGGGGCCCGCACAAGCGGAGGAACAUGUGGUUUAAUUCGAUGAUACGCGAGGAACCUUACCCGGGCUUAAAUUGCAUUUGAAUAAUCUGGAAACAGGUUAGCCGCAAGGCAAAUGUGAAGGUGCUGCAUGGUUGUCGUCAGCUCGUGCCGUGAGGUGUCGGCUUAAGUGCCAUAACGAGCGCAACCCUUAUCUUUAGUUACUAACAGGUCAUGCUGAGGACUCUAGAGAGACUGCCGUCGUAAGAUGUGAGGAAGGUGGGGAUGACGUCAAAUCAGCACGGCCCUUACGUCCGGGGCUACACACGUGUUACAAUGGGGGGUACAGAAGGCAGCUACCUGGCGACAGGAUGCUAAUCCCAAAAACCUCUCUCAGUUCGGAUCGAAGUCCGCAACCCGACUUCGUGAAGCUGGAUUCGCUAGUAAUCGCGCAUCAGCCAUGGCGCGGUGAAUACGUUCCCGGGCCUUGUACACACCGCCCGUCAAGCCAUGAAAGCCGGGGGUACCUGAAGUACGUAACCGCAAGGAGCGUCCUAGGGUAAAACUGGUAAUUGGGGCUAAGUCGUAACAAGGUA
This 1487-nucleotide ribosomal RNA is filed under the name metagenome. RNAcentral's name for it is "bacterial SSU rRNA". It matches the Rfam family "Bacterial small subunit ribosomal RNA". The record is from RNAcentral.